Molecule: long non-coding RNA, 947 nt
Organism: Cygnus olor (mute swan)
Lineage: Eukaryota; Metazoa; Chordata; Aves; Anseriformes; Anatidae
Exons: 7
Source: RefSeq, a predicted model, not a curated record
CCCCUGUGGCUGUCGUAAGGUGACAAGGUUCCUCUGGGGUAAAAAUAAAAAUAAAUAAAUAAAUAAAAAUUAAUCUGGAGAGCUGGUGCCAGAAUGUAGGAAGCCCUGCAGGUGCCUGCCGUUCCCCCAACGAGGUUGCCCCAGGCUGGGCUGAUUGAGUCCAGGCAGACACACCUGGGGGAGAUUUGGGACCAGCAGCCUCCAGAGCUCUGGCAGCAAUAAAAAGGCCCUGGCUGAAAGCAGGGUUGGUGGGGCUAGGGAGUAGUAGUGGGUGGCUUCCUUGUAUUCACUGCAACUGGAGCCUGAGGAGGUGCUGCUCUGCAGCCACCUCCCUGUGGUCAGAAGUGGACCAAGACAUGGAAGUAUUGAUGUGUGCAGAGGCUCUCAGUAGUUUGUAGCCAGGGAAGAGGAGGUUACCAGAGCUGAGUUGCUGGUGUGCUUUGAGGCUGUACUGGUUGAGGAUAUGGAGCGGUGCCUCAGCUGCUUUAUCCAGGGGCUGGAGAUCUGGUGCUGUAUUGGUAGUGGUUCCUUGGAAGCACCCAUUGAAUGCUUACUGUGGUUUACUGCAUCUGGAUGGAGAACUGCUCUUCCUGCCAUGGCACUGCUGACCUGUGUGGGGGACAAAGGCUGGCAUCUGUGGUGGAGUUGAGGGCUGCAGGAACAAGCAGAUGCUCCUCAUCUCUUUUUGUGUGGUUCCUGUAUAUGAAGUGCUCUUCAGGGACACUCAGGAAGGAGGCCUCCUUUUUGGGGUGUCUGCCAGUUGCGCAGUGCGGAGGACCAGUUCAGUGCCUCUUGUGGCCUGUCCCUGAGAGCAGGAGGAACCAUGGGCAAUGAUAGCUCCCUCACCAAAUGCACCAGCGAUUCACCUCCAGCCUACUUGCUCCAGCCAUGGUGAGACUAAAGCAGCAGGAACUAUCUUUCACUUUUUUUAGCUGAUAGUUAGUCAA